GGAGUGGUUCGGGUAAUCGCGGUAUGUUGAUGCAUAUCGAGGAAAGUCCGGGCUGCAUAGAACAGGAUGCUGGAUAACGUCCAGUGGGGGAAACCCUAGGAAAGUGCCACAGAGACUAGACCGCCAUCGCUUGCGAUGGUCAGGGUGAAAAGGUGUGGUAAGAGCGCACCGCUGUAUUCGGUAACGCGUACAGGCGUAGGUAAACCCCAUCCGCAGCAAGGCCAAAUAGGGAGUCGUUAAGCGUGGUUCGCGCGUGGCUUCGGGUAGGCUGCUUGAGGCUGCCAGUAAUGGCAUGUCCAGAGGAAUGGUUAUCACCAUUAUUUGUAAUAAAUAAUGGCACAGAACCCGGCUUAUAGAGCCACUCCGCAC
This 369-nucleotide RNase P RNA is filed under the name Mariprofundaceae bacterium. RNAcentral's name for it is "RNase P RNA component class A". It matches the Rfam family "Bacterial RNase P class A". From Rfam's summary of the family: Ribonuclease P (RNase P) is a ubiquitous endoribonuclease, found in archaea, bacteria and eukarya as well as chloroplasts and mitochondria. Lineage: Bacteria; Pseudomonadati; Pseudomonadota; Candidatius Mariprofundia; Mariprofundales; Mariprofundaceae. The record is from RNAcentral.